Molecule: ribosomal RNA, 435 nt
Filed under: Staphylococcus hominis
Lineage: Bacteria; Bacillati; Bacillota; Bacilli; Caryophanales; Staphylococcaceae
Description: bacterial SSU rRNA
Rfam family: Bacterial small subunit ribosomal RNA
Source: RNAcentral
AUACAUGGCGGCAGCUAUAAUGCAGUCGAGCGAACAGACGAGGAGCUUGCUCCUUUGACGUUAGCGGCGGACGGGUGAGUAACACGUGGGUAACCUACCUAUAAGACUGGGAUAACUUCGGGAAACCGGAGCUAAUACCGGAUAAUAUUUCGAACCGCAUGGUUCGAUAGUGAAAGAUGGCUCUGCUAUCACUUAUAGAUGGACCUGCGCCGUAUUAGCUAGUUGGUAAGGUAACGGCUUACCAAGGCAACGAUACGUAGCCGACCUGAGAGGGUGAUCGGCCACACUGGAACUGAGACACGGUCCAGACUCCUACGGGAGGCAGCAGUAGGGAAUCUUCCGCAAUGGGCGAAAGCCUGACGGAGCAACGCCGCGUGAGUGAUGAAGGUCUUCGGAUCGCAAAAAUCUGUCAUUAGUGAAGAACACACGUCAAAC